Molecule: ribosomal RNA, 467 nt
Filed under: uncultured bacterium
Lineage: Bacteria
Description: bacterial SSU rRNA
Rfam family: Bacterial small subunit ribosomal RNA
Source: RNAcentral
AGGACGAACGCUGGCGGCGUGCUUAACACAUGCAAGUCGAACGGUGACGGAGAGCUUGCUCUCCUGAUCAGUGGCGAACGGGUGAGUAACACGUGGGCAACCUGCCCCAGACUUCGGGAUAACGCUUCGAAAGAGGUGCUAAUACCGGAUAUGAACUCCUUGGGCAUCCUUGGAGUUGGAAAGUUUUUCGGUCUGGGAUGGGCCCGCGGCCUAUCAGCUUGUUGGUGAGGUAACGGCUCACCAAGGCGACGACGGGUAGCCGGCCUGAGAGGGCGACCGGCCACACUGGGACUGAGACACGGCCCAGACUCCUACGGGAGGCAGCAGUGGGGAAUAUUGCGCAAUGGGCGAAAGCCUGACGCAGCAACGCCGCGUGAGGGAUGACGGCCUUCGGGUUGUAAACCUCUUUCAGCAGGGAAGAAGCGAAAGUGACGGUACCUGCAGAAGAAGCACCGGCUAACUACGUG